RNAcentral lists this unclassified non-coding RNA (436 nucleotides) under Hevea brasiliensis (rubber tree). The record is from RNAcentral. Lineage: Eukaryota; Viridiplantae; Streptophyta; Magnoliopsida; Malpighiales; Euphorbiaceae.
UUAAAAACUAUCAACAAUUGAAAUUGUACUCAAGGAUAACCUGGCAAUAGCUAAAGUUGCAAAUCGUAAGUUUUGACAACUCCUAGGGUUCCAUAUUUUGAAACUCACUCAACAUGCUACUUAAUCAUACCAUCACUUGGAUGCCCUGACUUGAUUUUCUUUUGCAACAUAUUUAUGAACAAUGUUAUAAUGUCCUCCACCCUCAGUGAUCCACUAUCCUAUGCAUAUACAUUGUACAUAUAGAAAAAAAUAUUUAUACGCGCCUUUACUAAAAAAUAUCAAGUUAACAAAUUUACAUAAAAUCACUGAAAUAUGACAAUCAAAAUAAGCAAUCCGGUUGCCAAGAUUUUUUUGAUGGCUCAAAGUACCUAGAAAAACACAAAGAGGAGAGUAUGUUAAACAUCAUAAUUACCAUUUGUACCAACCUUCUUCAGAA